Small nucleolar RNA from Lolium rigidum, 92 nucleotides. RefSeq annotates it as small nucleolar RNA Z266. NCBI's taxonomy places the organism in Eukaryota, Viridiplantae, Streptophyta, Magnoliopsida, Poales, Poaceae. The transcript has a single exon. The record is from RefSeq and is a predicted model, not a curated record.
GAUUGGCUUAAAUUUUGAAUUGAUUACAUGAACGAAGUCACCUCGUGAGAUGGAACUUUCUGAGGCAUAUAUUAUGUCUGCCCAAGCCAAUC